GCCCGGGUGGCGGAAUUGGCAGACGCGUACGUUUGAGGGGCGUAUGGGGUAACCCGUACCGGUUCAAGUCCGGUCCCGGGCACCA
RNAcentral lists this transfer RNA (85 nucleotides) under Bacillota bacterium. Its description in RNAcentral is "Firmicutes bacterium (anaerobic digester metagenome) tRNA-Leu". It matches the Rfam family "tRNA". Rfam says of the family: Transfer RNA (tRNA) molecules are approximately 80 nucleotides in length. Their secondary structure includes four short double-helical elements and three loops (D, anti-codon, and T loops). Further hydrogen bonds mediate the characteristic L-shaped molecular structure. tRNAs have two regions of fundamental functional importance: the anti-codon, which is responsible for specific mRNA codon recognition, and the 3' end, to which the tRNAs corresponding amino acid is attached (by aminoacyl-tRNA synthetases). tRNAs cope with the degeneracy of the genetic code in two manners: having more than one tRNA (with a specific anti-codon) for a particular amino acid; and 'wobble' base-pairing, i.e. permitting non-standard base-pairing at the 3rd anti-codon position. The record is from RNAcentral. Lineage: Bacteria; Bacillati; Bacillota.